RNAcentral lists this ribosomal RNA (1476 nucleotides) under Staphylococcus aureus. RNAcentral's name for it is "16S ribosomal RNA". It matches the Rfam family "Bacterial small subunit ribosomal RNA". Lineage: Bacteria; Bacillati; Bacillota; Bacilli; Caryophanales; Staphylococcaceae. The record is from RNAcentral.
AGGAUGAACGCUGGCGGCGUGCCUAAUACAUGCAAGUCGAGCGAACGGACGAGAAGCUUGCUUCUCUGAUGUUAGCGGCGGACGGGUGAGUAACACGUGGAUAACCUACCUAUAAGACUGGGAUAACUUCGGGAAACCGGAGCUAAUACCGGAUAAUAUUUUGAACCGCAUGGUUCAAAAGUGAAAGACGGUCUUGCUGUCACUUAUAGAUGGAUCCGCGCUGCAUUAGCUAGUUGGUAAGGUAACGGCUUACCAAGGCAACGAUGCAUAGCCGACCUGAGAGGGUGAUCGGCCACACUGGAACUGAGACACGGUCCAGACUCCUACGGGAGGCAGCAGUAGGGAAUCUUCCGCAAUGGGCGAAAGCCUGACGGAGCAACGCCGCGUGAGUGAUGAAGGUCUUCGGAUCGUAAAACUCUGUUAUUAGGGAAGAACAUAUGUGUAAGUAACUGUGCACAUCUUGACGGUACCUAAUCAGAAAGCCACGGCUAACUACGUGCCAGCAGCCGCGGUAAUACGUAGGUGGCAAGCGUUAUCCGGAAUUAUUGGGCGUAAAGCGCGCGUAGGCGGUUUUUUAAGUCUGAUGUGAAAGCCCACGGCUCAACCGUGGAGGGUCAUUGGAAACUGGAAAACUUGAGUGCAGAAGAGGAAAGUGGAAUUCCAUGUGUAGCGGUGAAAUGCGCAGAGAUAUGGAGGAACACCAGUGGCGAAGGCGACUUUCUGGUCUGUAACUGACGCUGAUGUGCGAAAGCGUGGGGAUCAAACAGGAUUAGAUACCCUGGUAGUCCACGCCGUAAACGAUGAGUGCUAAGUGUUAGGGGGUUUCCGCCCCUUAGUGCUGCAGCUAACGCAUUAAGCACUCCGCCUGGGGAGUACGACCGCAAGGUUGAAACUCAAAGGAAUUGACGGGGACCCGCACAAGCGGUGGAGCAUGUGGUUUAAUUCGAAGCAACGCGAAGAACCUUACCAAAUCUUGACAUCCUUUGACAACUCUAGAGAUAGAGCCUUCCCCUUCGGGGGACAAAGUGACAGGUGGUGCAUGGUUGUCGUCAGCUCGUGUCGUGAGAUGUUGGGUUAAGUCCCGCAACGAGCGCAACCCUUAAGCUUAGUUGCCAUCAUUAAGUUGGGCACUCUAAGUUGACUGCCGGUGACAAACCGGAGGAAGGUGGGGAUGACGUCAAAUCAUCAUGCCCCUUAUGAUUUGGGCUACACACGUGCUACAAUGGACAAUACAAAGGGCAGCGAAACCGCGAGGUCAAGCAAAUCCCAUAAAGUUGUUCUCAGUUCGGAUUGUAGUCUGCAACUCGACUACAUGAAGCUGGAAUCGCUAGUAAUCGUAGAUCAGCAUGCUACGGUGAAUACGUUCCCGGGUCUUGUACACACCGCCCGUCACACCACGAGAGUUUGUAACACCCGAAGCCGGUGGAGUAACCUUUUAGGAGCUAGCCGUCGAAGGUGGGACAAAUGAUUGGGGUG